This 492-nucleotide ribosomal RNA is filed under the name uncultured bacterium. RNAcentral describes it as "bacterial SSU rRNA". It matches the Rfam family "Bacterial small subunit ribosomal RNA", at positions 903 to 1397 of the family's 1533-position model. The record is from RNAcentral.
AAAUGAAUAGACGGGGGCCCGCACAAGCGGAGGAACAUGUGGUUUAAUUCGAUGAUACGCGAGGAACCUUACCUGGGUUUAAAUGCAGGACGACAUCUGCCGAAAGGUGGACUUCUUCGGACGGACUGCAAGGUGCUGCAUGGUUGUCGUCAGCUCGUGCCGUGAGGUGUAGGAUUAAGUUCCAUAACGAGCGCAACCCCUAUCGUUAGUUGCCAGCGGAUAAUGCCGGGAACUCUAACGAAACUGCCAGUGUAAACUGUGAGGAAGGUGGGGAUGACGUCAAAUCAGCACGGCCCUUAUAUCCAGGGCUACACACGUGUUACAAUGGCCAGUACAAAGGGCAGCUACCCCGCGAGGGGAUGCUAAUCUCUAAAGCUGGUCUCAGUUCGGAUUGAAGUCUGCAACUCGACUUCAUGAAGCUGGAUUCGCUAGUAAUCGCGCAUCAGCCACGGCGCGGUGAAUACGUUCCCGGGCCUUGUACACACCGCCCGU